CUUUUGUUGCUGGGUUUGGAAAGUGGUGUUAAAAGAAGAGGGUUUUGGUUACAAACAAAAAAGGAAAGUGUUCUUCACUUUCUAGUUGCUGAUUUUGAUCCAUUUUUGGUGUGGUUUUGAAUUGUUGAGCAAGUGUUCAAGCUUCCCUUGAGGUCAUAGCAUGGAUGGUGUGGAGGGUGUUCCUCCUCAGCUGUAGACAGAGUCGGGGCUGGUGUUGUUGUGUUAUAUUCCGCAUAAUAGACUAUGUUUUGUAUUAUAUUUCCUAGAAGUUUCCUGGCAUGUAAUAAAUUUUCUUUCAGACUUUAAAACUUUAAAGUUUUAAUAUUUGCAUCUUAUCUAUUUA
Cornus florida is the source of this 343-nucleotide long non-coding RNA. RefSeq lists it as uncharacterized. Lineage: Eukaryota; Viridiplantae; Streptophyta; Magnoliopsida; Cornales; Cornaceae. The record is from RefSeq and is a predicted model, not a curated record. The transcript has 2 exons.